GACGUAGGAGGCAAGCGUUGUUCGGAAUUACUGGGCGUAAAGGGCGCGUAGGCGGCCUGAUAAGUCGGGGGUGAAAUCCUGUGGCUCAACCCCAGGGCUGCCUCCGAGACUGUCGGGCUCGAGCACAGUAGAGGCAGGUGGAAUUCCCGGUGUAGCGGUGGAAUGCGUAGAGAUCGGGAAGAACAUCGGUGGCGAAGGCGGCCUGCUGGGCUGUUGCUGACGCUGAGGCGCGACAGCGUGGGGAGCAAACAGG
This 253-nucleotide ribosomal RNA is filed under the name uncultured bacterium. RNAcentral describes it as "partial 16S ribosomal RNA". It matches the Rfam family "Bacterial small subunit ribosomal RNA", at positions 524 to 776 of the family's 1533-position model. The record is from RNAcentral.